GGCUUGGCAGAAGCAGCCAGGGCCUUUAGGGAUUGUAAUUCUCGUCGGAAUCCGGAUCUGGAGCCUUAGUUCCUUGCGUUUGAGAACAUACUCAAACACGGGAGGAUGAAACCACCACCAGGGUAGGAAUAGAAGACAGGAGUGCGAAUGAACUUAAACCCAAUUCUUCACCAAGCAAGUGGCUUUGAUCCAUCUUCGUGUUGCUCUGCGUUCUUUUUAUCUCUGUUCCAGUAUUUAAUGGUUUGGAUGUUUCCUAUGGUCUCAGCUAAAAGUCAAGCUUUGGUUUACAAGCACAUUUCUUGUUUGGGCCUCAAUAAAGGUGCAGACAAGGGUACAGGUCUGUGAUUUAUCAGUCUUACAAAACACCCAGCGCUCGCCACAACACAUCGAGAUGUCCUCAACGUCCAUCGAAAACUAUGUUUUUUAAACUAGGCUCCACGCCCAACGUGGGGCUUGAACUCAAGACCCCGAGAUCAAGAGUCGCAUGCUCUACUAAUUGAGCCAGCCAGGCGUCCUAGCUCUUUUUAAAACUAGCUCCCUAAUCAUGAAACCAAUGCCUAAUUGAACCUUAACUUGAGCCAAUUUUCCUUCUUUAAGAUUCAAUUUAGGAAUCCCAUAUACCUAAGGAAAUUCCAUGGACUGGGCUAGAUGUUUGUAUAUUAUAUAUAAUAUCAUUGUAUUCUAAUUGUUUACUUUUCUAUUCCUACCCCUAGAUCUUGUUUUUCCUCGUUAGGAGCUUUGUUUUUCACUGCUUCAUCCUGUGAAGUAUUAGCUCAAUGAACUUUCUCAGUGAAUCAAUGAAUGAACAAAUUAAUGGGAUUAGUUCGGCAUUAUUGUUUAAUUAUCUGUAUUGAAAUAGAAUAAAAACCAUUUUAUAUUUGAUUUUAGACAGUUCUUUUAUACAGCAUUAACCUUAUGUUUUUCAUGAGUUUGGAUUUUUCUCAGCAUAUUCAAAGGGUGGGAGAUGUAGCCCAUAAGCUGAAUUUAAGUAAUAAUAAGUCCUCCUGUAAAUAUUAAAAAAUUAACAUGGCGGUAAACUGAUGGAUAUAUCUUGUCUACCAGUAAUAGAACCAAGGUUUCAGAAACAUUAGAUGUUUUGGAAAAUCAGUGUUUUAAAUAAUGCUAUUUUGCUUGAGUCUUUAUUAAUAGCUGAAUGCCUUUUAUAUUACGAGACUGUCCUUGGGAUCAUGACCUGAGCCGAAGGCAGACGCUUAACGACUGAGCCAUCCAGGCGCCCAACAUAAAAUGUUUUAACUAGCUGUUAAACACAGCCAUUAUUAAAAAUUAUGUACAUUUGAAUUUAAAUGAAGAACAAAGGUAAUAAA
Zalophus californianus (California sea lion) is the source of this 1325-nucleotide long non-coding RNA. RefSeq lists it as uncharacterized. NCBI's taxonomy places the organism in Eukaryota, Metazoa, Chordata, Mammalia, Carnivora, Otariidae. The transcript is spliced from 4 exons. The record is from RefSeq and is a predicted model, not a curated record.